GGUUCUCAAUCACACAUCAACACUCCUUGUGUCUGUUCCUGUGUGGACAUCGCAGUCUCUUCACCUUGUGUCGAGUCUGCCAAAGUAUGAGUAGCGCUUUCAAGCAUUGAAGUGGACCGCAAGGUCUGCCUCAUUCAAGCCACACCCGAGUAUGCAUUUUCAAUAUGUUGCUCGAUCUUGUGUCUUGCUUGAUCCCAGUCUCGAGCAAUCGAGACAAGCAUGCUGCCUAUAUUGGCAACCCCUCA
RNAcentral lists this unclassified non-coding RNA (245 nucleotides) under uncultured Chloromonas. Its description in RNAcentral is "partial contains ITS2 and 28S rRNA". The record is from RNAcentral. Lineage: Eukaryota; Viridiplantae; Chlorophyta; Chlorophyceae; Chlamydomonadales; Chlamydomonadaceae.